This is a long non-coding RNA of Syngnathus acus (greater pipefish), 277 nucleotides long. RefSeq lists it as uncharacterized. The record is from RefSeq and is a predicted model, not a curated record. Lineage: Eukaryota; Metazoa; Chordata; Actinopteri; Syngnathiformes; Syngnathidae. The transcript has 4 exons.
GUAGAUGUAAGGAAGAUUAAAAUGAAGAGAAGCUCAACAUCAUCUUACCUGCGUUCACUCUGCUUCUUCCCUAUGCUCUCAGAAGCAGAAGCCGCCGCCAUUUCGGCUUUACCGCCGUCACCGCCGCCAUUUUGACUUCACCUCAAUCACGAGACGUCAGUAUCUCUCAGCAAACACUGACCUAUUGUGUCUACCAAGGGUCUUCAAAUGGUACAAAAGAAUCUGCUUCGCUACAGUGAGCUGAAGAAUGAAAUGGUUUCCCGGGGCAACAUCAGAU